AAAAAUGAUCCAAAUGUUCCACUCGCUGAGUGUGGGAAGACACAGAGCAGCGGGAGGGAAAGAACGACAGAAACUCAGUGAAGGCCAUCGGGAACCUGUGCCAAGAAGCGUUUCGAAGAGGUUAAUAAUGCUCAGAUGCUUUUUCCUCAAGAGGACAAGACCAAGAAUCACAAGCAUCCUGGCAGGCUAAUAAGCUGGGGCUACUUAUACCAAUUAUCUGUCUACCAUGUACUUCAUGGGUUGAGAAGAACCAGAUUCUGCUUUAAUAAAAAUUGUACUAAAUGGUAUGUGAAAUCCUGGAGCUCUUGGAAUAGUAAAAGGGCAUUAGUGGAAAAACUGGUGAUUCAAAUAAUCUGUAGUUUAGUUAAUAGUGCUGUACCAAUGUCUGUUUCUUAGUUUUGACAAAUGCACCGCGGUUCUGUCAAUAAUAACAUCAGGGGAAACUGGGUGAAGGCUAUAAAGGAAUUGUCUGUACUCUCUUUGCAACUUUUCUGGAAGUCUAGAAUUAUACCAAAUUAAAAUAAAGUAUUUAAAAACUCC
RNAcentral lists this long non-coding RNA (540 nucleotides) under Ursus americanus (American black bear). RNAcentral's name for it is "lncRNA (ENSUAMG00000023185.1)". The record is from RNAcentral. Lineage: Eukaryota; Metazoa; Chordata; Mammalia; Carnivora; Ursidae.